This 229-nucleotide unclassified non-coding RNA is filed under the name Tausonia sp. RNAcentral's name for it is "partial contains small subunit ribosomal RNA, internal transcribed spacer 1, and 5.8S ribosomal RNA". The stretch from base 1 to 46 matches the Rfam family "Eukaryotic small subunit ribosomal RNA", at positions 1786 to 1831 of the family's 1831-position model. RNAcentral also lists the same sequence under 3 other names. Lineage: Eukaryota; Fungi; Basidiomycota; Tremellomycetes; Cystofilobasidiales; Mrakiaceae. The record is from RNAcentral.
AAGUCGUAACAAGGUUUCCGUAGGUGAACCUGCGGAAGGAUCACUAGUGAUUAAAUCGAGCGUGUCUUCAUUGACCGCUCACCCUUCUCACCAUCCACAUACACCUGUGCACUGUUUAGCCUGAGCCGGUUUUCCGGUCCAGGUUAUCAUUUCAUACAAACUCUAGUCUUAUGAAUGUAAACGUUUUAAUAACAUAAUAAAACUUUCAACAACGGAUCUCUUGGUUCUC